CCGGCGACCGGCGCACGGGUGAGUAACACGUAUGCAACCUGGCCGCCACAGGGGGAUAACCCGCGGAAACGCGGCCUAAUACCCCGUGACGCCACCGGAGGGCAUCCUCCGGUGGCCAAAGGAGCGAUCCGGUGGCGGAUGGGCAUGCGGCGCAUUAGCUAGACGGCGGGGUGACGGCCCACCGUGGCGACGAUGCGUAGGGGUUCUGAGAGGAAGGCCCCCCCACACUGGGGACUGAGACACGGCCCAGACUCCUACGGGAGGCAGCAG
RNAcentral lists this ribosomal RNA (270 nucleotides) under uncultured bacterium. Its description in RNAcentral is "partial 16S ribosomal RNA". It matches the Rfam family "Bacterial small subunit ribosomal RNA", at positions 88 to 354 of the family's 1533-position model. The record is from RNAcentral.